AUCCUAGGAACUUAGGUCAUCAGGCUUGGCAGAGUCGAGCUCCCCUCUCCCCAGCACGGCUGUAGUCAUUUUGUUCCAUGCCCGCCAGCUCUUUCAUAUCGUUGCUGUGAAACUCCCCAGUACCUGAGCUGAGGACCAAACCCAGGGCUUUGUGCUUGCUAGGCAAGCGCUCUACCACUGAGCUAAAUCCCCAACCCCCCUUCGCUACCUUUUGAGCAGCCAAUAUCAGAACUGUUUCUGAGUUACGAGACAGGAUCCAAAGUGUCAGUGGAAAUCCCCAACUCCACUCUGCUGUGACCACUAAGGAUCAGCACACGUGCUCUGCUGCCUACCAUACCUACGUGCAUUGCCACAUAAUACUCUUGCAAGACAUCCAGAGAAAGUGGCUUGGAAUACAAUCAUGUUGUGUUAAAAUCCACUGCUCACAACUGAAGAAGCCAGACAGAUUGACACAUGCCGAGAGGCCUCGUUGAGAGAAACCCCUUGCUAAAACCUCACAUGAAUAUGGAAAGUAGUCGUCCCAACAGGUGUAUAUCAACACAAAAACAAUAAAUAUGAAAAAUAAAUAAUGAUGCCUCAUAAAGUUCAGAACUUCACAGAUAUAGAAGUGAAUGAUAUAGAAUUCAAAUGUAUGUUUUUUCUAAAAG
Rattus norvegicus (Norway rat) is the source of this 647-nucleotide long non-coding RNA. The record is from Ensembl. Lineage: Eukaryota; Metazoa; Chordata; Mammalia; Rodentia; Muridae.